Molecule: transfer RNA, 74 nt
Filed under: Microbacterium sp.
Lineage: Bacteria; Bacillati; Actinomycetota; Actinomycetes; Micrococcales; Microbacteriaceae
Also listed under: 3 other names
Description: tRNA-Leu
Rfam family: tRNA
About the family: Transfer RNA (tRNA) molecules are approximately 80 nucleotides in length. Their secondary structure includes four short double-helical elements and three loops (D, anti-codon, and T loops).
Source: RNAcentral
GCCCGACUAGCCCAACUGGUAGAGGCGCCGGAUUCAGGGUCCGGAGGUUCAGGGUUCGACCCCCUGGUCGGGCA